Molecule: long non-coding RNA, 811 nt
Organism: Scylla paramamosain (green mud crab)
Lineage: Eukaryota; Metazoa; Arthropoda; Malacostraca; Decapoda; Portunidae
Exons: 6
Source: RefSeq, a predicted model, not a curated record
UUCUUUUCCUUCUAGUUUUGUGUGGAGGGAGCGAUGGGUGGGUGGGGAGGAGCCUUCAUCUGUGCUGUCGUAUUUCACUCACUACAUGCUGGUCUUUGGUCUCGGCCUCGUCCUCGUGUCCUUCAGUGACCCGCCGCGGCUCCUUCAGAACAUGCAGGGCGGGACUGCCGGGAUGGCCUGGGACACACUGGGACGCCCUGCCAUGACCUCACGUAGCGCCGCGCCAGGGAAGAUCUCACACGUCGCCUGCCCGCCCCUUCUGCGUGGUCCCUGCUGGCGGCACGUCUUUCCAGGGAGGAUGUAGACUUGUACAGUAUUCAGUGCUUCGGAACGCUUCACGGAACCCUUGAAGCAGCUUUACUGCGUGGCAGCGCGUGGUGGGGCCAGGGCAGGCAGUCACUCGUGCUGCAGCGUGGCGGGCGGAGGGUCUUUCUCCACCAGAUUUGGGAAGUGUAGCAUGACCCAAACCAAAGGAGGGUUAGGGAGCGAGUGCUGCUGGCAGUGUGGACCCGCAGGGACCCUCAAAGUGAAACCUGCAAGAUAUCAUCAAAAUCACAGAGCAGCCAGCAGCUUAGUGGUCAGAGGAUGGAAGAGGUGAGGCUCUUGGUUCCAUGAGAGCUGACCAUCUGAUGCCACUUGCCCAUUUUUCAAGAAAGCAUUAACAUGAGCAGGGGAAAAGGAACAAAGACAGCAGCCAUAAAGAAUCUGGACUGGGGAAUGGCUGGUGUGAUUCGGGGGUGUUGCGAAGCUCAAGGAGACCCUGUCAAACACCUUGCAGUUGUUAAUACUGCCAGAGGGGGCCACUUUCUGG